Molecule: unclassified non-coding RNA, 1380 nt
Filed under: uncultured Neocallimastigales
Lineage: Eukaryota; Fungi; Neocallimastigomycota; Neocallimastigomycetes; Neocallimastigales
Description: partial contains small subunit ribosomal RNA, internal transcribed spacer 1, 5.8S ribosomal RNA, internal transcribed spacer 2, and large subunit ribosomal RNA
Rfam family: Eukaryotic large subunit ribosomal RNA (bases 606-1380)
Source: RNAcentral
UUUCCGUAGGUGAACCUGCGGAAGGAUCAUUAAAAAAUGUGGUACCAAUUAUUGGUACUAAUUAAUCAUCCUACCCUUUGUGAAUUUGUUUGUAACGAAUUUUUUUAAAUGGGUCUUUCCCUAAGUUGGAUUGUAGUAAAAUACAAAAAAGACUUAGGGGAAUGACUUUUUUAAAAGACUUUUUUUUAAAUUAAAACUUUUUGUAUUCAUUUGUCUAAAAUUUAUUUUUACAAUAUAAAAACAACUUUUGACAAUGGAUCUCUUGGUUCUCGCAACGAUGAAGAACGCAGCAAAAUGCGAUGAGUAGUGUGAAUUGCAGAAUACGUGAGUCAUCGAAUCUUCGAACGCAUAUUGCACUUUUUUAGUUUACUAAAAAAGUAUGUCUGUUUGAGUAUCAGUAAAAUAUUCUCACAAACAUAUAUUGUUUGUGGUAUGAGUGUUUUACAACGAUAAACAAGUUGUUUCACUUUAAAUUCUUUUUGUAGGUUUUUACCAAUUCAUAAAUUAAAAUUGGAUAAAAUUUUCCUUUAACGAGGAAUAACCUAAACAAUUUUAAAUUUUUGGUUUGUAAACAUCAUCAAAGGAAUCUAUAUACAUAAAUAACUUGAUCUCAAAUCAGAUAAGAGUACCCGCUGAACUUAAGCAUAUCAAUAAGCGGAGGAAAAGAAACUAACAAGGAUUCCCUUAGUAACGGCGAGUGAAGCGGGAAGAGCUCAAAUUUGAAAUCUUCAAGGUUUGACCUUGACGAAUUGUAGUUUAUAGAAGUGUUUUCUGUUGGAGUUUUGGUAAAAGUUCUUUGGAAUAGGACAUCAUAGAGGGUGAGAAUCCCGUAUUUGACCAUGACUUUCCAGCUGUGUGAUACACUUUCAAAGAGUCGGAUUGUUUGGGAAUGCAGUCCAAAAUGGGUGGUAAAUUCAUCUAAAGCUAAAUAUUGGCGAGAGACCGAUAGCGAACAAGUACCGUGAGGGAAAGAUGAAAAGAACUUUGAAAAGAGAGUUAAACAGUACGUGAAAUUGUCAAAAGGGAAGCGUUCGACACCAGUGUUGUUUUCUCGAAAAUCAAUUUAAUGAGUUCUUGUUUUUAAGUUAUUGUGACUUUAUCAGCGCAUUUCUUAUUUUACUUGACUCAUUGAAUGCACUUUUCGUUUAACAAGUCAACAUCAAUUUCUUUGGUGGUAAAAGUUUAAAGGAAGGUGGCUUGGACUUCGGUUCAAGUGUUUAUAGCCUUUUUUCUAUGCCAUCGGAGAGAUUGAGGUCUGCAGCGUAGAUCCUUCGGGUUAGAUACCUUUGUGCUAAGUUAUAGUUUUUUAUAGACAACUUGUUGACUAUAAUUAACCCUGUAAUUUACUCGCUUAGGCUAUUUUACCUACGCUUAGGAUGU